GGAUGAACGCUGGCGGCGUGCUUAACACAUGCAAGUCGAACGAUGAUCUCCAGCUUGCUGGGGGGAUUAGUGGCGAACGGGUGAGUAACACGUGAGUAACCUGCCCUUGACUCUGGGAUAAGCCUGGGAAACUGGGUCUAAUACCGGAUAUGACCAUUCCACGCAUGUGGUGGUGGUGGAAAGCUUUUGCGGUUUUGGAUGGACUCGCGGCCUAUCAGCUUGUUGGUGGGGUAAUGGCCUACCAAGGCGACGACGGGUAGCCGGCCUGAGAGGGUGACCGGCCACACUGGGACUGAGACACGGCCCAGACUCCUACGGGAGGCAGCAGUGGGGAAUAUUGCACAAUGGGCGGAAGCCUGAUGCAGCGACGCCGCGUGAGGGAUGACGGCCUUCGGGUUGUAAACCUCUUUCAGUAGGGAAGAAGCGUAAGUGACGGUACCUGCAGAAGAAGCGCCGGCUAACUACGU
Molecule: ribosomal RNA, 467 nt
Filed under: Arthrobacter sp. 'ARUP UnID 132'
Lineage: Bacteria; Bacillati; Actinomycetota; Actinomycetes; Micrococcales; Micrococcaceae
Description: bacterial SSU rRNA
Rfam family: Bacterial small subunit ribosomal RNA
Source: RNAcentral